Molecule: small RNA, 152 nt
Filed under: Klebsiella pneumoniae
Lineage: Bacteria; Pseudomonadati; Pseudomonadota; Gammaproteobacteria; Enterobacterales; Enterobacteriaceae
Description: partial RtT sRNA
Rfam family: RtT RNA
About the family: This family represents a bacterial cis-regulatory element known as RtT RNA. The exact function of RtT is unknown although it is thought that it may be involved in changing the cellular response in relation to amino acid starvation.
Source: RNAcentral
CAGUUGACUUUCAAUCAAGCGGUCGCAGGUUCGAAUCCUGCACGACCCAACAAUUUCCGCAAAUAACUCAGAUGCUGAACGUGAAGGAUAACGGUGCGUCAGCAACGGCCCGAAGGGCGAGGCAAAGCCGAGUCAUCCUGCACGACCUACCA